GACGAACGCUGGCGGCGUGCUUAACACAUGCAAGUCGAACGAAGCUUGAUUACGGAUUCUUCGGAUGAAGUAUGAUAUGACUGAGUGGUGGACGGGUGAGUAACGCGUGAGUAACCUGCCCUUCAGAGGGGGAUAGCGUUUGGAAACGAACGGUAAUACCGCAUAAUGUAUUUUGACCGCAUGAUCGAAAUACCAAAGAUUUAUCGCUGAAGGAUGGACUCGCGUCUGAUUAGGUAGUUGGUGAGGUAACGGCCUACCAAGCCGACGAUCAGUAGCCGGACUGAGAGGUUGAUCGGCCACAUUGGGACUGAGACACGGCCCAGACUCCUACGGGAGGCAGCAGUGGGGAAUAUUGCACAAUGGGCGCAAGCCUGAUGCAGCAACGCCGCGUGAAGGAAGACGGUUUUCGGAGUGUAAAAGUCUGUUCUUAGUGAAGAAUAAUGACGGUAGCUAAGGAGCAAGCCACGGCUAACUACGUG
This 479-nucleotide ribosomal RNA is filed under the name uncultured bacterium. RNAcentral describes it as "partial 16S ribosomal RNA". It matches the Rfam family "Bacterial small subunit ribosomal RNA", at positions 28 to 507 of the family's 1533-position model. The record is from RNAcentral.